AGAGCGAACGCUGGCGGCAGGCCUAAUACAUGCAAGUCGAACGAGCCCUUCGGGGUUAGUGGCGGACGGGUGAGUAACACGUGGGAACGUGCCUUUUGGUUCGGAACAACUCAGGGAAACUUGAGCUAAUACCGAAUGUGCCCUUCGGGGGAAAGAUUUAUCGCCAUUAGAGCGGCCCGCGUCUGAUUAGCUAGUUGGUGAGGUAAAGGCCCACCAAGGCUACGAUCAGUAGCUGGUCUGAGAGGAUGAUCAGCCACACUGGGACUGAGACACGGCCCAGACUCCUACGGGAGGCAGCAGUAGGGAAUCUUGCGCAAUGGGCGAAAGCCUGACGCAGCCAUGCCGCGUGAAUGAUGAAGGUCUUAGGAUUGUAAAAUUCUUUCAGCGGGACGAUAAUGACGGUACCGCAGAAGACGCCCGGCUAACUUCGUGCCAGCAGCCGC
This 443-nucleotide ribosomal RNA is filed under the name uncultured bacterium. Its description in RNAcentral is "SSU rRNA". It matches the Rfam family "Bacterial small subunit ribosomal RNA", at positions 26 to 518 of the family's 1533-position model. The record is from RNAcentral.